AAUAACCUUAGUUUUUGUUUUUUCACGUCCAACUUUUGACCAUUCGUCUUAUUUAAAAUUUUUUUGCGAUUAAUACUUUUAUUGUUACUAGAUGAUAAAAUAUAAAUAAUACUUUAUACGUGACUAAUUUUUUAAAAUAUUUGUACAAAUUUUUUAAAUAAGAUGAAUGGUCAAACGUUGGACACGGAAAAAC
Molecule: non-coding RNA, 193 nt
Organism: Oryza brachyantha (malo sina)
Lineage: Eukaryota; Viridiplantae; Streptophyta; Magnoliopsida; Poales; Poaceae
Source: Rfam